Molecule: non-coding RNA, 1665 nt
Organism: Malus domestica (apple)
Lineage: Eukaryota; Viridiplantae; Streptophyta; Magnoliopsida; Rosales; Rosaceae
Source: RefSeq, a predicted model, not a curated record
UGUCACUACCAUAUCAAAGUAGAACGGAACUUGCUUGUCACUGUUGGCCAGCAAUACCUGAAACUGAUUUUUCGUGUCGAUCCGCAAAAAUCCCAGGUGGACGCGAGAGAGCAGCAACCAACGCCUUCGCCUUCGCGCCCCGCCCGGCCGCCGCCCCCCCCGCCCGCGGGCGCCGGACCCUCUGAACUGAAUUCAAAUCAAAUCUCAGAGCCCCUGAAUAUCGAAUCGAAAUUAAACUUGGAAUCGAAUUCAAACCAUAAUUCGGUGAAUUAGACGACUAUUUCUGGCUCUAAUAUAGACCACUAAGGCUUUGCAGAUUGAUUCUCUGGCAGAGUUCCUCUGUGGGUGCUCCUAAGCAGAAAUGGACGGCAGAAGAAGAAUCAGCCCUUAAAGCUGGAGUUAUUAAACAUGGUGCAGGAAAAUGGCGGACCAUACUUAAAACAUCCAGAAUUUAGUGGUGUUCUGUAUACUCGUUCAAAUGUAGAUCUUAAGGAUAAGUGGAGAAAUAUGAGUGUCAUGGCAAAUGGAUGGGGCUUUCGAGAGAAGGCUAAGAAAACACUUAGAACUCUAUGGCUCUCAGUAAUGUUGCUCAAAGCGAUGAUGAAAACAUGGAAGCUAAGCCUAUUUCAAUUUCCAGUGGGACCCAGCAGAUUUCUGGUCCCAGAAAAUCUAUUGUGAGUGCCUUUUGCCUCGGUUUUGGCAAUCUGGUCACUGCUUAACAUUCCAUUUGUACGAGUGCAGGUAAAGCGCAGAUUCAGGUGCACCUACUCCAGCGUUUUAUGAAAAAAGAAGAAAUUCAUCAACGUAUCCUUUUGAGGGGAGACAAUGGCGUCUCCUUUUGAGGGAAGACAAUGGCGUCUCCUUUUGAGGGAAGACAUGGCGUCCCUAAAAUUUGACAAUGAUGAGGCUAUCCUGAUGAAAGCCCAAAUUGAUUUGGAGCUUGCGAAGAUGAGGACUAUGACCCCCGAAGAAGCUGCUUUAGCUGCUGCUCAAGCAGUGAAAGAUGAAGAAGCUGCCAUUGCUGAAGCCGAAGAGGCAGCCAGGGAGACUGAGGCUGCUGAAGCUGAUGCAGAAGCAGCACAAGCUUUUGCAGAAGCAGCUAUGAAGACACUAAAGGAAGAAAUGCUGCGAAGAUGAUGAAUCGUCCCUGAUUGAAGUUCGAAACAUGAAAGAGCAAUGAACCAGAAGUUUCUUGGGACCGGCGCAUGUUUCAUUGUAAUUGUAAAUUAUGUUAUCAAAUUCACCUACACAGAGAUGGGUGAUUUGUAUUUUGAUUAGUUUCAUUGUAGGAAGGUAGGUAUUGAGACCCGUCUGGUUCAUGGCAGUUGUUCAUUUCCUUUUGCAAACCAUAAAUCUGCAUUGUAACGCAGAAAAUUAGGACUCACAGUGGGAUAGAAAAGUUUUUUGUAAUUGUCUUGUUAUUUUUUCUUUACCUUGUUUUUCUUGGCCUUAAAGAAAGGAGGAGGCGGCUAUCACUUUUAUCUUCGAAGGUGACUCUUGCGCCGCCCUGCUCUCCGCCCGUUUAGAGCGGGGUCUUCCCUACUAACUCGAGGGCUUAGGGCAUGCUGUCAUUGGUUGGGUUAGUUCAUUCAUAUAGCAACAAGAUGUAUAUGCUUCUGGAUCGUAGUGUUUAGUCUGAUUCAAUGAUAUAGUUUUUGCCCCCUC